Molecule: ribosomal RNA, 484 nt
Filed under: uncultured bacterium
Lineage: Bacteria
Description: partial 16S ribosomal RNA
Rfam family: Bacterial small subunit ribosomal RNA
Source: RNAcentral
AUUGAACGCUGGCGGCAGGCCUAACACAUGCAAGUCGAGCGGAUGAAGGGAGCUUGCUCCUGGAUUCAGCGGCGGACGGGUGAGUAAUGCCUAGGAAUCUGCCUGGUAGUGGGGGAUAACGUCCGGAAACGGGCGCUAAUACCGCAUACGUCCUGAGGGAGAAAGUGGGGGAUCUUCGGACCUCACGCUAUCAGAUGAGCCUAGGUCGGAUUAGCUAGUUGGUGGGGUAAAGGCCUACCAAGGCGACGAUCCGUAACUGGUCUGAGAGGAUGAUCAGUCACACUGGAACUGAGACACGGACCAGACUCCUACGGGAGGCAGCAGUGGGGAAUAUUGGACAAUGGGCGAAAGCCUGAUCCAGCAAUGCCGCGUGUGUGAAGAAGGUCUUCGGAUUGUAAAGCACUUUAAGUUGGGAGGAAGGGAAGUAAGUUAAUACCUUGCUGUUUUGACGUUACCAACAGAAUAAGCACCGGCUAACUUCGUG